This 807-nucleotide ribosomal RNA is filed under the name Salmonella enterica subsp. enterica serovar Johannesburg. RNAcentral describes it as "partial 23S ribosomal RNA". It matches the Rfam family "Bacterial large subunit ribosomal RNA", at positions 1 to 839 of the family's 2925-position model. Lineage: Bacteria; Pseudomonadati; Pseudomonadota; Gammaproteobacteria; Enterobacterales; Enterobacteriaceae. The record is from RNAcentral.
GGGUUGUGAGGUUAAGCGACUAAGCGUACACGGUGGAUGCCCUGGCAGUCAGAGGCGAUGAAGGGCGUGCUAAUCUGCGAUAAGCGCCGGUAAGGUGAUAUGAACCGUUAUAACCGGCGAUACCCGAAUGGGGAAACCCAGUGUGACUCGUCACACUAUCAUUAACUGAAUCCAUAGGUUAAUGAGGCGAACCGGGGGAACUGAAACAUCUAAGUACCCCGAGGAAAAGAAAUCAACCGAGAUUCCCCCAGUAGCGGCGAGCGAACGGGGAGGAGCCCAGAGCCUGAAUCAGCAUGUGUGUUAGUGGAAGCGUCUGGAAAGACGCGCGAUACAGGGUGACAGCCCCGUACACAAAAGCGUAUGUGCUGUGAGCUCGAUGAGUAGGGCGGGACACGUGGUAUCCUGUCUGAAUAUGGGGGGACCAUCCUCCAAGGCUAAAUACUCCUGACUGACCGAUAGUGAACCAGUACCGUGAGGGAAAGGCGAAAAGAACCCCGGCGAGGGGAGUGAAAAAGAACCUGAAACCGUGUACGUACAAGCAGUGGGAGCACAGGUUUACCUGUGUGACUGCGUACCUUUUGUAUAAUGGGUCAGCGACUUAUAUUCUGUAGCAAGGUUAACCGAAUAGGGGAGCCGGAGGGAAACCGAGUCUUAAUUGGGCGUUAAGUUGCAGGGUAUAGACCCGAAACCCGGUGAUCUAGCCAUGGGCAGGUUGAAGGUUGGGUAACACUAACUGGAGGACCGAACCGACUAAUGUUGAAAAAUUAGCGGAUGACCUGUGGCUGGGGGUGAAAGGCCAAUCAAACC